Molecule: ribosomal RNA, 605 nt
Filed under: uncultured bacterium
Lineage: Bacteria
Description: bacterial SSU rRNA
Rfam family: Bacterial small subunit ribosomal RNA (bases 68-605)
Source: RNAcentral
AAUCCUGNGCAGCCAUACGAUAUUCUACUGUUNCGAAUCCCAGUACGCCAGCGAAGCGUAGUAUCACUGGAGUACGCCGCACGUUAACUCAAGAUGACGGGGCCCGCACAACCGAAGACAUUGUGUUAUCGAUGAUACGCGAGACCUACCGGUUUGAACGUAGGAGACAGAGUGAACAUUCUUUUCAGCAAUGACUGCCUACGAGGUGCUGCAUGGUUGUCGUCAGCUCGUGCCGUGAGGUGUCGGCUUAAGUGCCAUACGAGCGCAACCCUUAUUUUCAGUUACUAACAGGUGAUGCUGAGGACUCUGAAGAGACUGCCAGCGUAAGCUGUGAGAAGGUGGGGAUGACGUCAAAUCAGCACGGCCCUUACAUCCGGGGCGACACACGUGUUACAAUGGUAAGGACAAAGGGCAGCUACCGGGCGACCGGAUGCGAAUCUCUAAACCUUAUCUCAGUUCGGAUCGGAGUCUGCAACUCGACUCCGUGAAGCUGGAUUCGCUAGUAAUCGCGCAUCAGCCAUGGCGCGGUGAAUACGUUCCCGGGCCUUGUACACWCCGCCCGUCAAGCCAUGGGAGCCGGGGGUACCUGAAGUUCGUAACCGAAA